RNAcentral lists this ribosomal RNA (371 nucleotides) under Anopheles vagus. RNAcentral's name for it is "partial large subunit ribosomal RNA". It matches the Rfam family "Eukaryotic large subunit ribosomal RNA", at positions 682 to 964 of the family's 3401-position model. Lineage: Eukaryota; Metazoa; Arthropoda; Insecta; Diptera; Culicidae. The record is from RNAcentral.
GCCCGCGGGCCAAUGGGACCGGUGCCACCUCCGGGUGGUGCCGCUCAAUCGAACACCCAUAGGCGAAGACAACUCGAAGACGUAUGUCACGGGAUUACGGGUUCGGCAUUGGCGCAAGCCUUCGUCGGAUCCCUCCAUCCCAGGGUGCCCCGAUACGGGUGGGAGCGGGCCUCCGGGCGUCGUUCUACCCAGCGGGCAUACCCCGAGUGUGCAGGAUGCGACCCGAAAGAUGGUGAACUAUGCCUGAUCAGGUUGAAGUCAGGGGAAACCCUGAUGGAGGACCGAAGCAAUUCUGACGUGCAAAUCGAUUGUCAGAGUUGGGCAUAGGGGCGAAAGACCAAUCGAACCAUCUAGUAGCUCGUUCCUUCCGA